RNAcentral lists this unclassified non-coding RNA (956 nucleotides) under Rhizobium sp. CCBAU 83515. RNAcentral describes it as "partial contains 16S ribosomal RNA, 16S-23S ribosomal RNA intergenic spacer, and 23S ribosomal RNA". The stretch from base 138 to 210 matches the Rfam family "tRNA". Lineage: Bacteria; Pseudomonadati; Pseudomonadota; Alphaproteobacteria; Hyphomicrobiales; Rhizobiaceae. The record is from RNAcentral.
AAGUUCAAGUCUUCCCGGGCCCACCAUUUGCAGCAGCAAAUGAGUUUGCUGUAGCGAAUGAGGUUUGCUGUAGCGAAUUGUGGUUUGUUUGGGUUUACCUGAUCCUGGCGGUUUGCUGUCAGGUGUUUGCGAUGGUUGGGGCUGUAGCUCAGCUGGGAGAGCACCUGCUUUGCAAGCAGGGGGUCAGCGGUUCGAUCCCGCUCAGCUCCACCAAAUUCUGUCCUCACGGCGAAAGCCUGCGGACGGCGCGCCGAACGAUCGGCGACGGCCUCUGGCCUGUAUUUGGCGGAUUGUUGCUGGCGGUGAAUGAUAUCCUUUGAAGAAAUAAAAGUUUUGCAUCGGCUUAUGGCUGAUGCGUGUUCUGCAUACAUUGUGAAGAGAAGAUUGAUCUGGAGGCUUCCAGGUGUCGGGUUUUGCCCUUUUGGGUUUAACUUGGCGUCCGAGCCCAGUUCUGAUGAUCCCAUGGAUGGCCUAGCCGGCCGGAUAUGGGUGAAGGACUGGAGGUAGGAAGGAAGCUUGUCGCUCUGGGCCGUUGUUGUUUGCUGAUCUUUAGGGAUCAAGCAUCUGACGGACGGCUUGAUUACCGUUGCCUGACCGCGCGGUAUCGGAUCAUAUCUCGAGAAGCUGGUCUUAAGACAGGCUGCAAGCGAGCUGCUCGGCGUAGCUCCAAUAAAGCAGACCUGUCGAACACGUUAAUGGCAUUGUUAGAAAGCGUGAUUGUAAAAGGUAAUCACGCAUGUUUGGCCCGACCGCACGGCAAUCGCAAGGUUGUCCGGAUGGUCGGAUUUGGCACCCCGCGAGGCGAAAGCGAAGCGGACAAGGUCUGCCAAAUCAAACAAAGACGAUGAGCAUUGGCAAUGAGAACGAUUAAGUGUCGUAAGGGCAUUUGGUGGAUGCCUUGGCAUGCACAGGCGAUGAAGGACGUGAUACGCUGCGAAAAGCCGUGGGGAGCUGCG